Molecule: ribosomal RNA, 500 nt
Filed under: uncultured bacterium
Lineage: Bacteria
Description: partial 16S ribosomal RNA
Rfam family: Bacterial small subunit ribosomal RNA
Source: RNAcentral
GGUUAAUGCUAGCGGUGCGCCUAACACAUGCAAGUCGAACGGCAGCGGGGACUUCGGUCCGCCGGCGAGUGGCGAACGGGUGAGUAAUGUAUCGGAACGUACCAUUGAGUGGGGGAUAACGUAGCGAAAGUUACGCUAAUACCGCAUAUUCUCUCCGGAGGAAAGCAGGGGACCGCAAGGCCUUGCGCCCUUUGAGCGGCCUAUAUCAGAUUAGCUAGUUGGUGAGGUAAAAGCUCACCAAGGCGACGAUCUGUAGCGGGUCUGAGAGGAUGAUCCGCCACACUGGAACUGAGACACGGUCCAGACUCCUACGGGAGGCAGCAGUGGGGAAUUUUGGACAAUGGGGGCAACCCUGAUCCAGCCAUGCCGCGUGAGUGAAGAAGGCCUUCGGGUUGUAAAGCUCUUUCGGCCGGGAAAAAAUCGCAUGGGUUAAUACCCUGUGUGGAUGAUGGUACCGGAAUAAGAAGCACCGGCUAACUACGUGCCAGCCGCCGCAGUAA